UGCCAGACACAGAUACUACUGGAGCAGUUUCCUCCUUCAGAAGCGAAAGAAAUGGUCACAGAACCCCCCCCUUUUGAAUAAGCUGACGUAUGUCCCAGGAAGCUGUAGUUAAGUUUAAAAGCAGAAGGAAAUGCUCAGCGAAUCUUCUCUGGAACAUCAAAGAGAAGCAAAAGAGUAAAGGAAGAUGUUGUUUUCAGAUGAACCCAGGGUCGCGUGACUUGAGCCCUCUGGCCAGAUGGCUCCUAGACACC
Molecule: non-coding RNA, 251 nt
Organism: Pogona vitticeps (central bearded dragon)
Lineage: Eukaryota; Metazoa; Chordata; Lepidosauria; Squamata; Agamidae
Source: RefSeq, a predicted model, not a curated record